Molecule: non-coding RNA, 1630 nt
Organism: Coffea arabica (coffee)
Lineage: Eukaryota; Viridiplantae; Streptophyta; Magnoliopsida; Gentianales; Rubiaceae
Source: RefSeq, a predicted model, not a curated record
AGCCUACCUUCUGCUGAAUUACUGUUGCAAACCUGUCUUUCCUUGGUUCUCUCUGAAUUUCUGCUUUCCAGAAAUAUUGCGACAAAAGUUUCAGCUACCAUAGUUUCCUCUUAUAUGGUGACACAAAUAAAUACCUACACAUUCUUGGACUUGCAAAAAAGAGGGGCUGUAUGCUUGUUGAGGGCUUAUUUACUACAAAUGGAUCCAGCAGGGCUCUCUCAAAGGGGACUCAUUCUCCUUCAUUAUAUGGAGAAGGUUUAGGCAAUACUAUGUCUAGUUUGAGAGUGUAGAAUGAACCAUUAGUAAAAACCCAUGGUAUAGUAUUAAAGGCUGAGGGUGUAAUAGAUUUUCUUAGAGUCUUAGAGCUCUCCAAGAUGAUGCAACAAAGAUUAUUCUGGCAGGCUACUGGGAUUCUCAUGCAGGAGCUGUUUGACAGCGAGAAAUUGGAUGAAUGGCCUGAAGAGAUGUUUCUGAUGUAUGAAAGCUAUAAGCAUAAGCUGUUUUCUCAAUCUGGCGAUGGGGCAGACGCUCUCAUUCAGGGCUAUCAGAUGGCUGAUGGAAAACAUGCCGUGGUUAGUACUCUCCCUUUGCAUAUCACAAUGUUGCAUAAAGUUCAAGCAGGAAGUGAAUUUCUGAGAUGAGCGUCAAUCUUGUUAGCAGUAGAAUCCAUGUGGAUGGCAGUCUCCUGGUGAAACAGUGUGUUUAUGCAUUGUAAGGGUAACCUUUCAUGAAAAAUCUUGGUGACUUAUUUUUGCUCUGCAAGAAUCUCAAGUAUGUUGAAUAGGCAAAGUCAAAUACCUUUUGUAAAACAUAAUGAAAUUAGAAAAGCAAAUAUAAAUAAAUAUAUAAAACAAGAAGAUAUGAACCACCUCAAAAUAUUGUGGUUUGGAAUAUGAGGCUGGCAGUCAUAGAUUUUCUUGAGGAUCAGAGCUCUCCAAGAAGCUGCAUCAAAGCCGAUUCAGGCUUCUACAGGGAUGCUCAUGCACGAGGUACAUUUUUGUGAUGAAAAUGUUCUGAUUCAAGAAGAUAUAUCUAAUUUUCAUCACUUCUGCUGGCUUCUUUGUCCUUUCUUCAAACUUUCAUAAUUGAUAGAAUCAGCAAUUUCUUCGUUAGUUGCCAUUUAUUCUAAACUUGUCUAACGUUGUGAGUUUUCACUCAAUCUUUACUAGGUAAAGAAUAGAGCUAUGGAUAAGCCAAUACAUGGGAAAGCUACUUGUUGGAUUUUUAAGUCAUGAUGAUAAAUGCUGCAAAUGAGGCUUGUCAGCCCCUUUACAGAGAUAUUGCCAGGUCAAAGCCAGAAGCUUUCAGUUUUUGAAGGAUCUGAAGUUGGAAUAUGUGAAAAACUUUAGUAGUAGCCUGCCCGCCAAUCAAAUAGAAGCCUCCCUAUGGAAUGCGUAUCUUUUGACCUUUUGACUCUGAGUGGUGCAACAUUUCUAGAUUUCUCACUUUGAGAUUGAUCAUAGUGUAUGGAAACUCUAGUCUACACCUGUAUUUAUGAUUUCUUCAAUUCUGUAUGUUCAAUAAUGCUGUCUCCAAUUCAGUGUAUUAUUCUUAUGAUGCUAUACCUUUUCUGUGACAUUCUGCUGAAGAGUACAUUGUUGUUAGAUGUAAAAGUGGACGAGUAUUACAA